Molecule: small RNA, 91 nt
Filed under: Flavobacterium circumlabens
Lineage: Bacteria; Pseudomonadati; Bacteroidota; Flavobacteriia; Flavobacteriales; Flavobacteriaceae
Description: Flavo-1 RNA
Rfam family: Flavo-1 RNA
Source: RNAcentral
UUUUAGCCCUGCUAAUAGUGGAAAUCCUUUUUUGCCGGCCCCUAUAGCUAUCGGGAGGCAUAAAAGAUUGUAACGGAUAGCAGGAUUAGCU